Molecule: long non-coding RNA, 420 nt
Organism: Pipistrellus kuhlii (Kuhl's pipistrelle)
Lineage: Eukaryota; Metazoa; Chordata; Mammalia; Chiroptera; Vespertilionidae
Exons: 2
Source: RefSeq, a predicted model, not a curated record
AAAAUGGCAAGAGAGCUAGUGAAAUAUACAUGGAAACAGGAAAUUGGAGGAAGCUAUGUUAACUCUGGGAACCAAGAUUAUUUGGUUUUGAACCUGUGGCCGAACGGAAAAUUGCCUAGUAAUUGGGCUGUGUUGCUUUGAGGCCUGUAAAGCUGCUGGCACAAUGCCAUGGGCUGCAGUGGGCGAGAGCCCUCUUUGAGCUUCCCAUCGAGGAUGUUGUUCCGCACGUGAAAAAGUCUUUUGCGGGAGACAUGUCUUUCUAGUCUUAGGGUCAGGAAUAACUGGUUGUGUGUCCCUUGGGUCAUUUGACUGUCAUCUUAAGGACACAGCAAACUUUCUAACAGACCAGGUGUUCUUGAGAGGAGCCUAGAGCUGGAAACCCAGAAGUGCACUGGUCUCCCACGUCAGCAAUAAAAACAA